UAGGGAAUCUUCGGCAAUGGACGGAAGUCUGACCGAGCAACGCCGCGUGAGCGAAGAAGGUUUUCGGAUCGUAAAGCUCUGUUGUUAGAGAAGAACGUUGGUAGGAGUGGAAAAUCUACUAAGUGACGGUAACUAACCAGAAAGGGACGGCUAACUACGUGCCAGCAGCCGCGGUAAUACGUAGGUCCCGAGCGUUGUCCGGAUUUAUUGGGCGUAAGGCGAGCGCAGGCGGUUCUUUAAGUCUGAAGUUAAAGGCAGUGGCUUAACCAUUGUACGCUUUGGAAACUGGAGGACUUGAGUGCAGGAGGGGAGAGUGGAAUUCCGUGUGUAGCGGUGAAAUGCGUAGAUAUAUGGAGAAACACCGGUGGCGAAAGCGGCUCUCUGGUCUGUAACUGACGCUGAGGCUCGAAAGCGUGGGGAGCAAACAGG
This 429-nucleotide ribosomal RNA is filed under the name Bacillota bacterium. RNAcentral's name for it is "Firmicutes bacterium partial 16S ribosomal RNA". It matches the Rfam family "Bacterial small subunit ribosomal RNA", at positions 355 to 776 of the family's 1533-position model. Lineage: Bacteria; Bacillati; Bacillota. The record is from RNAcentral.